CCUACGGGUGGCAGCAGUGGGGAAUAUUGCACAAUGGGGGAAACCCUGAUGCAGCGACGCCGCGUGAGUGAAGAAGUAUUUCGGUACGUAAAGCUCUAUCAGCAGGGAAGAAAAUGACGGUACCUGACUAAGAACCCGCGGCUAACUACGUGCCAGCGGCCGCGGUAAUACGUAGGGGGCAAGCGUUAUCCGGAUUUGCUGGGGGUAAAGGGGGCGUAGACGGCAGCGCAAGUCUGAAGUGAAAGCCCAUGGCUUAACCAUGGAACUGCUUUGGAAACUGGGCAGCUGGAGUGCAGGAGAGGUAAGCGGAAUUCGUGGUGUAGCGGUGAAAUGCGUAGAUAUUAGGAGGAACACCAGUGGCGAAGGCGGCUUACUGGACUGUAACUGACGUUGAGGCUCGAAAGCGUGGGGAGCAAACAGGAUUAGAUACCCGUGUAGUC
RNAcentral lists this ribosomal RNA (440 nucleotides) under uncultured bacterium. RNAcentral's name for it is "partial 16S ribosomal RNA". It matches the Rfam family "Bacterial small subunit ribosomal RNA", at positions 338 to 795 of the family's 1533-position model. The record is from RNAcentral.